ACGAGAAAAAAUAUUUAGACCAAAUUAAUAACUGAACAAUAACUGGUUAAAUAAGAGAUUAAAAGUAAGAGAGAGAGAAUGUCUUGACUCGUUUUAUUAUAUGCUCUACUUUAUAUGCCUCAGGACAGACCAUUGGACCUGCUUUAAGGAUUCUCACCUGAUCAAGAGCCCUUGGGUUGCAUUUCUGUACUGGGGAGACAGGAGACCCAUAAUGGACACACCUGAGCUGACUAAGCAUUGUUUCGUGGUGGCGAGCUCGUGAUUGCGUCUGUGUGUUGGAAGCACAGAGACCAAUAAUGGAUAGCCCCGAGCUGAUUAAAGCAUCUUCCAUGGCCAUGAUCUCCUGGUUGCCUCUAACGUGAGUAAUAGUUAAAAUCCUUUUCUCAUUUCCCGGUGUUUUUGUAAAGGUGAUUCACUUUAUUGUUAGGAUGUGUGAAAGACAAUUUAAAAUGGCAGCCGUAUCUCAGUGAUAAAUAUGGAACAUAUGAAACAUUGAUUAAUCCAUGUGUAGAAAACUGAGGGUAAUCAAUAAAAGAGAUACAUUGAUGUGGGUUAGGGGAUACAGAGCCUCUCCUAUCGUAUUGGUUAUCAUAGCAUUUAGAAACUACUAAAGAGGUCAUGUUUUGAUCAAUCAAUAAAAGAAAUGGAUGAAGAAAAAGAGGGACAACAUUGGAUCGAUGAUGACCACUGGUGGCGUAUGAGCCUUAUGCGAUGAAUACCUGUCUGGAGGAACUCUGAGGUCCAACACAAGAGAUGUGGUCCUUCUCUUCAUGCAUUUUCAUUGUUUGCAUUGGAUGAUCGAAAUGCAAUUACAAUGACAAUUGGAUGAUCGAAACAUCCGUGUGGAAAUACAUAUUUCAAAAAGCUGAAUUGUAGAAGGCUUGUUCAAUUUAAAAAAUAUGUGGGAGGCAAGAAAUACUAUUAAUAUAUUUUGAAACACUGAGGUCCAAAGAGAAAUAAAUGGUACAUGAAUGUAAGCUCUUUGGAGAACAAAUUAUAACAAUGUUUAUGUUCUGGGUCAGUGGGAAGUUCAAAGUAGUUCGUUUUCUUAAGAGGAAAAUGAAAUAGACUCCAAAUAAUGAUUGCCUAAAUGCCUGCCUAAAUGAAAGAUGUAAAUCAAGGGUAAAUGGAAGAAUGUCUCAUUUUUCAUCAUCUGCUCUGCUCCGUACUCCUCAGAAUGGAUGCACUCAAGCUGAUCGUAACAUUCCUCCAAGGUCGUGAGCCCUCAGGUUGCAUCUAUGUUGUAGGAGCAUGGAGAACACGUGAGUAAUAGAGUUCUUGUCUUGGGUUUGAGUGGCUCGUUUAAGGUUAUUUACUGUAUUCUUCAAAAUAUCCAAAAGUGUUAUUGAAAAAUUUAUCAAAGAAGAUAAAAUAUGCCAAUGUU
Long non-coding RNA from Panthera uncia (snow leopard), 1384 nucleotides. RefSeq lists it as uncharacterized. The transcript is spliced from 3 exons. The record is from RefSeq and is a predicted model, not a curated record. Lineage: Eukaryota; Metazoa; Chordata; Mammalia; Carnivora; Felidae.